This 124-nucleotide ribosomal RNA is filed under the name Aeromicrobium erythreum. RNAcentral describes it as "partial 16S ribosomal RNA". Lineage: Bacteria; Bacillati; Actinomycetota; Actinomycetes; Propionibacteriales; Nocardioidaceae. The record is from RNAcentral.
GAGCGGUAAGGCCCUUUCGGGGGUACACGAGCGGCGAACGGUUGAGUAACACUUGAUCAACCUGCCCUUCUCUUNGGAANAAACGUUGGAAACNACNUCUAAUGCCGAAUAUGACACCCUGUCG